RNAcentral lists this transfer RNA (72 nucleotides) under bacterium. RNAcentral's name for it is "tRNA-Gly". It matches the Rfam family "tRNA". From Rfam's summary of the family: Transfer RNA (tRNA) molecules are approximately 80 nucleotides in length. The record is from RNAcentral.
GCGGGGAUGGCUUAGUGGUAUAGCGUCUCCUUGCCAAGGAGAAGGUCGCGAGUUCGAAUCUCGUUCCCCGCU